UAAACGACUCUCGGCAACGGAUAUCUCGGCUCUCGCAUCGAUGAAGAACGUAGCGAAAUGCGAUACUUGGUGUGAAUUGCAGAAUCCCGUGAACCAUCGAGCCUUUGAACGCAAGUUGCGCCCGAAGCCAUUAGGCCGAGGGCACGCCUGCCUGGGCGUCACAC
RNAcentral lists this ribosomal RNA (164 nucleotides) under Rubus caesius x Rubus idaeus. Its description in RNAcentral is "5.8S ribosomal RNA". It matches the Rfam family "5.8S ribosomal RNA". From Rfam's summary of the family: 5.8S ribosomal RNA (5.8S rRNA) is a component of the large subunit of the eukaryotic ribosome. It is transcribed by RNA polymerase I as part of the 45S precursor that also contains 18S and 28S rRNA. Functionally, it is thought that 5.8S rRNA may be involved in ribosome translocation. Lineage: Eukaryota; Viridiplantae; Streptophyta; Magnoliopsida; Rosales; Rosaceae. The record is from RNAcentral.